CUCUUCCUCUUUGAAGUAAAAUGCCAAAUUUCUUUAUCAAUGGCAGUGCUCUGAAUACCUGACCAUACCAUUCUGGUAAACAUAUCGAUCUUCACACCACAAAUAGGUCAAUAUUCACGAAAAUGCUAUGCAACUUUUACCUUUGUUUUUAAAUUUCGAUUGUCUCCACUCCAUCUUUUUCUGCUCGGAUCUGCCCAGAUCACGUGAAGCUUGACCAAAGAGUAAUGUUUAAAUUUCAAAACACAUCUUUCUCAACUCAAGAUCCCGCCCAAAAUACAAAGCUUAGGGCUUAUAAUCUCAUCUAUAAAUGUUUCCCCUGUUUUGCCUUUGAAGGGGACGUUUUCUUUGGGUUUGCUAAAAGAAUCAUCCGACAAGCUUUCACACUCACAAAAAGCAACACAUUUAUACAUUUUAAUAUUGCUUACAAAGAAUUUUCGUUUCUCCUCUUUGUUGCACUUGACUUUUUAUGAAGAACGAAGAUAGAUUUGAGGCUGAUAACGUCCCUAGUUUACUGCACUACAAAAGCCGGCGAGUCUAGUUUUGAAACUCAACGACACCGCUACCGCAUAGAGCUCGCAUAUACCUCACAUGGAAUUGAUCAUAUACAUUUCUUUCACACUACAUCUAUUCGCUUUUCCUAUUUUCAGAGACGUGUCCGGAUAAAAUGAGACAUUAUAGUUAA
Molecule: long non-coding RNA, 682 nt
Organism: Solanum stenotomum
Lineage: Eukaryota; Viridiplantae; Streptophyta; Magnoliopsida; Solanales; Solanaceae
Exons: 2
Source: RefSeq, a predicted model, not a curated record